RNAcentral lists this ribosomal RNA (1041 nucleotides) under Enterococcus sp. RNAcentral's name for it is "bacterial SSU rRNA". The record is from RNAcentral. Lineage: Bacteria; Bacillati; Bacillota; Bacilli; Lactobacillales; Enterococcaceae.
GCAAGUCGAACGCWUUUUCWUUCACCGGAGCUUGCUCCACCGAAAGAAAAAGAGUGGCGAACGGGUGAGUAACACGUGGGUAACCUGCCCAUCAGAAGGGGAUAACACUUGGAAACAGGUGCUAAUACCGUAUAACACUAUUUUCCGCAUGGAAGAAAGUUGAAAGGCGCUUUUGCGUCACUGAUGGAUGGACCCGCGGUGCAUUAGCUAGUUGGUGAGGUAACGGCUCACCAAGGCAACGAUGCAUAGCCGACCUGAGAGGGUGAUCGGCCACACUGGGACUGAGACACGGCCCAGACUCCUACGGGAGGCAGCAGUAGGGAAUCUUCGGCAAUGGACGAAAGUCUGACCGAGCAACGCCGCGUGAGUGAAGAAGGUUUUCGGAUCGUAAAACUCUGUUGUUAGAGAAGAACAAGGAUGAGAGUARAACGUUCAUCCCUUGACGGUAUCUAACCAGAAAGCCACGGCUAACUACGUGCCAGCAGCCGCGGUAAUACGUAGGUGGCAAGCGUUGUCCGGAUUUAUUGGGCGUAAAGCGAGCGCAGGCGGUUUCUUAAGUCUGAUGUGAAAGCCCCCGGCUCAACCGGGGAGGGUCAUUGGAAACUGGGAGACUUGAGUGCAGAAGAGGAGAGUGGAAUUCCAUGUGUAGCGGUGAAAUGCGUAGAUAUAUGGAGGAACACCAGUGGCGAAGGCGGCUCUCUGGUCUGUAACUGACGCUGAGGCUCGAAAGCGUGGGGAGCGAACAGGAUUAGAUACCCUGGUAGUCCACGCCGUAAACGAUGAGUGCUAAGUGUUGGAGGGUUUCCGCCCUUCAGUGCUGCAGCAAACGCAUUAAGCACUCCGCCUGGGGAGUACGACCGCAAGGUUGAAACUCAAAGGAAUUGACGGGGGCCCGCACAAGCGGUGGAGCAUGUGGUUUAAUUCGAAGCAACGCGAAGAACCUUACCAGGUCUUGACAUCCUUUGACCACUCUAGAGAUAGAGCUUCCCCUUCGGGGGCAAAGUGACAGGUGGUGCAUGGUUGUCGUCAGCUCGUGUCGUG